RNAcentral lists this ribosomal RNA (492 nucleotides) under uncultured bacterium. RNAcentral's name for it is "partial 16S ribosomal RNA". It matches the Rfam family "Bacterial small subunit ribosomal RNA", at positions 29 to 507 of the family's 1533-position model. The record is from RNAcentral.
AGUGAACGCUGGCGGUAGGCCUAACACAUGCAAGUCGAACGGCAGCACAGUGAGAGCUUGCUCUUACGGGUGGCGAGUGGCGGACGGGUGAGGAAUACAUCGGAAUCUACUUUUUCGUGGGGGAUAACGUAGGGAAACUUACGCUAAUACCGCAUACGACCUACGGGUGAAAGCAGGGGAUCUUCGGACCUUGCGCGAUUGAAUGAGCCGAUGUCGGAUUAGCUAGUUGGCGGGGUAAAGGCCCACCAAGGCGACGAUCCGUAGCUGGUCUGAGAGGAUGAUCAGCCACACUGGAACUGAGACACGGUCCAGACUCCUACGGGAGGCAGCAGUGGGGAAUACUGGACAAUGGGCGCAAGCCUGAUCCAGCCAUACCGCGUGGGUGAAGAAGGCCUUCGGGUUGUAAAGCCCUUUUGUUGGGAAAGAAAAGCAGCAGGUUAAUACCCCGCUGUUCUGACGGUACCCAAAGAAUAAGCACCGGCUAACUUCGUG